GAUGAACGCUGGCGGCGUGCCUAAUACAUGCAAGUCGAACGAAACUUCUUUAUCACCGAGUGCUUGCACUCACCGAUAAAGAGUUGAGUAGCGAACGGGUGAGUAACACGUGGGCAACCUGCCCAAAAGAGGGGGAUAACACUUGGAAACAGGUGCUAAUACCGCAUAACCAUAGUUACCGCAUGGUAACUAUGUAAAAGGUGGCUAUACUACCGCUUUUGGAUGGGCCCGCGGCGCAUUAGCUAGUUGGUAGGGUAAAGGCUUACCAAGGCAAUGAUGCGUAGCCGAAUUGAGAGGUUGAUCGGCCACAUUGGGACUGAGACACGGCCCAAACUCCUACGGGAGGCAGCAGUAGGGAAUCUUCCACAAUGGGCGAAAGCCUGAUGGAGCAACGCCGCGUGGGUGAAGAAGGUCUUCGGAUCGUAAAACCCUGUUGUUAGAGAAGAAAGUGCGUGAGAGUAACUGUUCACGUUUCGACGGUAUCUAACCAGAAAGCCACGGCUAACUACGUG
RNAcentral lists this ribosomal RNA (512 nucleotides) under uncultured bacterium. RNAcentral describes it as "partial 16S ribosomal RNA". It matches the Rfam family "Bacterial small subunit ribosomal RNA", at positions 28 to 507 of the family's 1533-position model. The record is from RNAcentral.